Molecule: unclassified non-coding RNA, 271 nt
Filed under: uncultured fungus
Lineage: Eukaryota; Fungi
Description: partial contains 5.8S ribosomal RNA, internal transcribed spacer 2, and large subunit ribosomal RNA
Source: RNAcentral
AACGCACCUUGCGCUCUCUGGUAUUCCGGAGAGCAUGCUUGUUUCAGUCUCAAUAGACUACUCAAAAACAUUAUUGUUUUUGGAAUUUGGGCCGUCUCUGCUAAGAGUGGCUUGCAAUAGAUUUUUGGGCUUUUCAGCAAUAGAGUGAAAUUAGUACUUUGGGCUUAGCUCAAGUUCACUACACUUCUAUUUCGCUAAAAUCAACCCGAAUUUGCAGGAAUCUUUCUCAACCCUUGAGCUGAAAUCAAGUAGGAUUACCCGCUGAACUUAA